AAGUCGAACGCACUCUCGUUUAGAUUGAAGGAGCUUGCUCCUGAUUGAUAAACAUUUGAGUGAGUGGCGGACGGGUGAGUAACACGUGGGUAACCUGCCCUAAAGUGGGGGAUAACAUUUGGAAACAGAUGCUAAUACCGCAUAAAACCUAACACCGCAUGGUGUAGGGUUGAAAGAUGGUUUCGGCUAUCACUUUAGGAUGGACCCGCGGUGCAUUAGUUAGUUGGUGAGGUAAAGGCUCACCAAGACCGUGAUGCAUAGCCGACCUGAGAGGGUAAUCGGCCACACUGGGACUGAGACACGGCCCAGACUCCUACGGGAGGCAGCAGUAGGGAAUCUUCCACAAUGGACGAAAGUCUGAUGGAGCAACGCCGCGUGAGUGAAGAAGGUUUUCGGAUCGUAAAACUCUGUUGUUGGAGAAGAAUGUAUCUGAUAGUAACUGAUCAGGUAGUGACGGUAUCCAACCAGAAAGCCACGGCUAACUACGUGCCAGCAGCCGCGGUAAUACGUAGGUGGCAAGCGUUGUCCGGAUUUAUUGGGCGUAAAGCGAGCGCAGGCGGUUUCUUAAGUCUGAUGUGAAAGCCUUCGGCUCAACCGAAGAAGUGCAUCGGAAACUGGGAAACUUGAGUGCAGAAGAGGACAGUGGAACUCCAUGUGUAGCGGUGAAAUGCGUAGAUAUAUGGAAGAACACCAGUGGCGAAGGCGGCUGUCUGGUCUGUAACUGACGCUGAGGCUCGAAAGCAUGGGUAGCAAACAGGAUUAGAUACCCUGGUAGUCCAUGCCGUAACGAUGAGUGCUAGGUGUUGGAGGGUUUCCGCCCUUCAGUGCCGCAGCUAACGCAUUAAGCACUCCGCCUGGGGAGUACGACCGCAAGGUUGAAACUCAAAGGAAUUUGACGGGGGCCC
RNAcentral lists this ribosomal RNA (905 nucleotides) under Latilactobacillus sakei subsp. carnosus. Its description in RNAcentral is "bacterial SSU rRNA". It matches the Rfam family "Bacterial small subunit ribosomal RNA", at positions 59 to 922 of the family's 1533-position model. The record is from RNAcentral. Lineage: Bacteria; Bacillati; Bacillota; Bacilli; Lactobacillales; Lactobacillaceae.